Molecule: long non-coding RNA, 234 nt
Filed under: Oryza brachyantha (malo sina)
Lineage: Eukaryota; Viridiplantae; Streptophyta; Magnoliopsida; Poales; Poaceae
Description: long non-coding RNA (OBRA_LNC002224)
Source: RNAcentral
GGAGCAACCGGCGGUGGUCUCAUGGGGUACAGACAGACAGCUCGGAAAGCGGCAAGUGGCCGCUGCCCACCUCCACCCUACCUCUCUCUCUCUCUUCCACCUCGUUGGCUUCUGGCGAGCUAGCUAGUGCGGUGGGAGUAUGGCAGAGUGUGAAAGGGAGCAGAGAGAGUAGCAGGUGGAGGUGGGAGGGAGAGGAGAGGAGAGGAGAGGAGGAGGAAGAGGUCAUAAAUGGAG